AUAAAAACUUUAUCAACCAGCUCCCUUAUUCCAUGGGCCUGGUGUGCAAUGGCUGCAAACAGCAUUCUCGUUGGUAGUGUAUGCAACCUGUUCCUUGUAUGGGUUGCUCUAAGGGACCUUGGAGGCAGUC
Molecule: small nucleolar RNA, 130 nt
Organism: Ochotona princeps (American pika)
Lineage: Eukaryota; Metazoa; Chordata; Mammalia; Lagomorpha; Ochotonidae
Gene: SNORA70
Rfam family: Small nucleolar RNA SNORA70
About the family: snoRNA U70 seems to be exclusive to mammals and is a member of the H/ACA class of snoRNA which contain H (ANANNA) and ACA box motifs. H/ACA box snoRNAs are involved in the conversion of uridines to pseudouridines (5-ribosyluracil) a constituent of structural RNAs (transfer, ribosomal, small nuclear, and small nucleolar).
Source: Ensembl